RNAcentral lists this transfer RNA (65 nucleotides) under Xylobanus sp. UPOL 000184. RNAcentral's name for it is "tRNA-Glu". The record is from RNAcentral. Lineage: Eukaryota; Metazoa; Arthropoda; Insecta; Coleoptera; Lycidae.
GUUUCUAUUUAUAUAGUUUAAAAAAACAUUAUAUUUUCAGUAUAAAAUUAAUUCUUAGUUUAUAA